This 686-nucleotide ribosomal RNA is filed under the name Triticum aestivum (bread wheat). RNAcentral's name for it is "partial small subunit ribosomal RNA". The record is from RNAcentral. Lineage: Eukaryota; Viridiplantae; Streptophyta; Magnoliopsida; Poales; Poaceae.
GUGCUCCCUUUCAAAUCAACAAUACAUUAUACAUAUACACAGUCCCUUGCAUAUACGUUACUCCCUGCGUCCCAUAAUAUAAGACGUUUUUGGAGUUCAAAUUAAACUGCAAAAACGUCUUACAUUAUGGGACAGAGGUAGUAGUACACAGCUUUUCAGUCCAAAUUCAAUUCAAUUUCAUCAUACACUGAUCAGCAGAACAAAAGGGGGCAGGCAGGACUUUCUUAGGAAAUUAAAUGUGUCCCAGCUAGCUUGCUAUUUGUUCACGGGAAGUCCUGGGUGGCAGAGUCCGGCCGAGCAGGCGAGCACCACCGAGAGAGGUCGGAGCAGACCGCCAGAGCCGGCGCGGGGGGCUGGCUGGAGCAGGCGAGGAGCACCACGUCCCUGGCGACUAGGCAGAGGGCCGGGGGCGGCCGGGGAGCGCCGAAGCAGAGGGGCCGGUGAUAGUCCUUGCAGAGGGCGUUCACCGGCGGCGGGCGGCGGCGCACUGGCAGGACCAUAGUAUGAGGCACGAGCUGGAGUUGGUCGCUGGAGGUGGUGGAGAUUGGCUACGAGGAGGCGCGGGGCUGGAUGAGCAACCAGCCCGGCGCGCCAUAGAUGGGCAGCUCAGGACGUGGCGGCGGAUAAGGAGGAGUCAAGGAGCUGGAGUUCGGUUCGUGGGCUCCUUUACUGCACAAACGGGCUAG